This 497-nucleotide ribosomal RNA is filed under the name uncultured bacterium. RNAcentral's name for it is "partial 16S ribosomal RNA". It matches the Rfam family "Bacterial small subunit ribosomal RNA", at positions 28 to 507 of the family's 1533-position model. The record is from RNAcentral.
GAUGAACGCUGGCGGCGGGCCUAACACAUGCAAGUCGAGCGAACGAACGGAGCUUGUUCCUCUUUUACGCUACCGACGGAUGAGUGAUGCACAGGUAUCUGACUUGCCUAUAGGGCUGGCGUAACGUCGCGGGACCUGAUCCAGCAUCGGUUAAGAUGUCGAACCGCAGGGUUCUUUAGACAAAGAUGUCUUUGCUAUGACUAGGACAGGUUCCUUCGUCGUAUUAGCUAGUUGGUACGGUAACGGCCUACCAAGGCGACGAUGCGUAGCCGACCUGAGAGGGUGAUCAGUCACACUGGAACUGAGACACGGUCCAGACUCCUACGGGAGGCAGCAGUAGGGAAUCUUCGACAAUGGGCGAAAGCCUGACCCAGCCAUGCCGCGUGUGUGAAGAAGGUCUUCGGAUUGUAAAGCACUGUUAUUAGGGAGGAAGAAAAGUAUGUGUAUAUGUGGCUGUUUUGACGGUACCUACAGAAAAAGCACCGGCUAACUACGUG